GACAGAGGGGGCGAGCGUUAUCCGGAGUCACUGGGCGUAAAGCGCGCGCAGGCGGCAACCUUAGUGUCGUGUGAAAGCCCCCGGCUCAACCGGGGGAGGCCAUGGCAAACUGGGUCGCUCGAGCUGCGGAGAGGCCCCCCGAAUUGCCGGUGUAGCGGUGAAAUGCGUAGAGAUCGGCAGGAAGACCAAGGGGGAAGCCAGGGGGCUGGCCGCAGGCUGACGCUGAGGCGAGACAGCGUGGGGAGCAAACCGG
Molecule: ribosomal RNA, 253 nt
Filed under: uncultured bacterium
Lineage: Bacteria
Description: partial 16S ribosomal RNA
Rfam family: Bacterial small subunit ribosomal RNA
Source: RNAcentral